GACGAACGCUGGCGGCGUGCCUAACACAUGCAAGUCGAACGGAGUUAAGUCUUCGGAUUUAACUUAGUGGCGAACGGGUGAGUAACGCGUGAGGGAACCUACCUUUCAGUGGGGGACAACAGUUGGAAACGACUGCUAAUACCGCAUAACGUGCCUUGAGGGCAUCCUCGAGGUACCAAAGAUUUAUCGCUGAAGGAUGGGCUCGCGUCCGAUUAGAUAGUUGGUGAGGUAACGGCUCACCAAGUCGACGAUCGGUAGCCGAACUGAGAGGUUGAUCGGCCGCAUUGGGACUGAGACACGGCCCAGACUCCUACGGGAGGCAGCAGUGGGGGAUAUUGCACAAUGGAGGGAACUCUGAUGCAGCAACGCCGCGUGAGGGAAGAAGGUCUUCGGAUUGUAAACCUUAGUCAACAGGGAAGAAGCAAGUGACGGUACCUGUGGAGGAAGCCACGGCUAACUACGUG
Molecule: ribosomal RNA, 464 nt
Filed under: uncultured bacterium
Lineage: Bacteria
Description: bacterial SSU rRNA
Rfam family: Bacterial small subunit ribosomal RNA
Source: RNAcentral